Molecule: ribosomal RNA, 691 nt
Filed under: uncultured bacterium
Lineage: Bacteria
Description: bacterial SSU rRNA
Rfam family: Bacterial small subunit ribosomal RNA
Source: RNAcentral
AGACGCUGGCGGCGUGCCUACCGAUUAAGUCGAACGGAAAGGGCCCGCUUUUGUAAGGGUGCUCGAGUGGCGACGGUGAGUAACACGUGAGUAACCUGCCCUUGACUUUGGGAUAACUUCAGGAAACUGGGGCUAAUACCGGAUAAGAGCUCCUGCUGCAUGGUGGGGGUUGGAAAGUUUCGGCGGUUGGGGAUGGACUCGCGGCUUAUCAGCUUGUUGGUGGGGUAGUGGCUUACCAAUGCUUUGACGGGUAGCCGGCCUGAGAGGGUGACCGGCCACAUUGGGACUGAGAUACUGCCCAGACUCCUACGGGAGGCAGCAGUGGGGAAUAUUGCACCAUGGGCGGAAGCCUGAUGCAGCAACGCCGCGUGCGGGAUGACGGGCUUCGGGUUGUAAACCGAUUUCGCCUGUGACGAAGCGUGAGUGACGGUAAUGGGUACAGAAGCACCGGCUAAAUACGUGGCCAGAAGACCGCGGUGAUACGUAAGGGUGAGAGCGUUGCUCGGAUUUAUUGGGCGUAACAAGGGCUCCUAAGUGGUUGAUCCGCUUCGACGUGUAAUCUUGUGGCUUACCCUGAGCGUUCUAUCAAUCGGGUUUGCCUUAGGAAGGACGGGACAUUGCAUCCUGAUGGACGGUGUAUGGCCGAUAUCAGAAGAACACCAGGGAAAAGGCGGUCCCUGGGCCUUACUGA